This 734-nucleotide ribosomal RNA is filed under the name uncultured soil bacterium. RNAcentral describes it as "bacterial SSU rRNA". It matches the Rfam family "Bacterial small subunit ribosomal RNA", at positions 47 to 760 of the family's 1533-position model. The record is from RNAcentral.
CCUAACACAUGCAAGUCGAACGCGAAAGGGGAGCAAUCCCUGAUUAGAGUGGCAAACGGGUGAGUAACACGUGGGUGACCUGCCUUCGAGUGGGGGAUAACCUUCCGAAAGGAGGGCUAAUACCGCAUGACAUACCGUGUUUGGAUACACGGAUAUCAAAGCCGGGGAUCGCAAGACCUGGCGCUGGAAGAGGGGCCCGCGUCCGAUUAGCUAGUUGGUGGGGUAACGGCUCACCAAGGCUCCGAUCGGUAUCCGGCCUGAGAGGGCGGACGGACACACUGGAACUGAGACACGGUCCAGACUCCUACGGGAGGCAGCAGUGGGGAAUUGUUCGCAAUGGGCGAAAGCCUGACGACGCAACGCCGCGUGGAGGAUGAAGAAUUUCGGUUCGUAAACUCCUUUCGACCGAGAUGAAUACCCAUGGGUUUAAUACGCCUGUGGGCUGACAGUAUCGAGAGAAGAAGCCCCGGCUAACUCUGUGCCAGCAGCCGCGGUAAUACAGGGGGGGCAAGCGUUGUUCGGAAUUACUGGGCGUAAAGGGUUCGUAGGUGGCCACUUAAGUCAGACGUGAAAUCCCUCAGCUUAACUGGGGAACUGCGUCUGAUACUGAGUGGCUUGAGUGCAGGAGAGGAAUGCGGAAUUCCAGGUGUAGCGGUGAAAUGCGUAGAUAUCUGGAGGAACACCGGUGGCGAAGGCGGCAUUCUGGACUGUAACUGACACUGAGGAACGAAAGC